UUGCGUAGGUGGCAGAGUAAGCAAAUAGUGAAAGCGUCCCGCUCAACGGGAUAAACAUUAUUUGAACUGCUCAGCUAGAGGACGAGAGAGGUCGCUGGAAUUCCCGGUGUAGCGGUAAAAUGCGUAGAUAUCGGGAAGAACACCGAUGGCGUAGGCAGGCGACUGGCUCGUUCCUGACACUAAGGCACGAAAGCUGGGAGCAACG
Molecule: ribosomal RNA, 205 nt
Filed under: uncultured bacterium
Lineage: Bacteria
Description: partial 16S ribosomal RNA
Rfam family: Bacterial small subunit ribosomal RNA
Source: RNAcentral